GUUCGAUUCAGCUCCUCCUUCCAUUGCCAUUUCCGGUGCGUAUUAAUCAAUGUUUUUGCAGAGCGAAUAGAGAUGUGUAGAGAGAGAAAUCGAAACCGAGUCAAAGCAAUUGCAUUUUGCAGAGAGAGAGAGAGAAUGAGAACCAGAAGAGAUUUGUGAAGAAGAUGAAGAUUUUUUUUUUCUCAAAAUGAGGAAAUGGAAAGAGUGUGGAAGUU
This 215-nucleotide unclassified non-coding RNA is filed under the name Hevea brasiliensis (rubber tree). Lineage: Eukaryota; Viridiplantae; Streptophyta; Magnoliopsida; Malpighiales; Euphorbiaceae. The record is from RNAcentral.